AACAAGGCGUACCUGCGGACCUGCGGAGGGAUCAUUACAAGUGACCCCGGUCUAACCACCGGGAUGUUCAUAACCCUUUGUUGUCCGACUCCGUUGCCUCCGGGGCGACCCUGCCUUCGGGCGGGGGCUCCGGGUGGACACUUCAAACUCUUGCGUAACUUUGCAGUCUGAGUAAACUUAAUUAAUAAAUUAAAACUUUCAACAAUGGAUCU
This 212-nucleotide unclassified non-coding RNA is filed under the name soil metagenome. RNAcentral's name for it is "partial contains 5.8S ribosomal RNA, internal transcribed spacer 2, and large subunit ribosomal RNA". The record is from RNAcentral.